Molecule: long non-coding RNA, 240 nt
Filed under: Ananas comosus (pineapple)
Lineage: Eukaryota; Viridiplantae; Streptophyta; Magnoliopsida; Poales; Bromeliaceae
Description: long non-coding RNA (ACOM_LNC004465)
Source: RNAcentral
UAAUUUUUAUUGUUUUUAUAGUCUUUAAAUUGUCUUUUUAUUGCUUCGAUUUUUUUUUUUUGAGAGAGAGAUCGUGCUAACUGCUUCGUUUAUUUCAUUUAGAAAUAAAUUUAUGUGAAAAUAUGAAUCAGCUCGGAUUCGAACUUGGGACUUCGAAUAUCAAUCACCAAAUCCGUUGCCACUUGCACCAGGGACGGUCGGUUGCUUUGAUUAUUGUUACAAGCUUUCUUCAAUUUGAAG